RNAcentral lists this ribosomal RNA (497 nucleotides) under uncultured bacterium. Its description in RNAcentral is "partial 16S ribosomal RNA". It matches the Rfam family "Bacterial small subunit ribosomal RNA", at positions 30 to 523 of the family's 1533-position model. The record is from RNAcentral.
AUUGAACGCUGGCGGCAUGCUUUACACAUGCAAGUCGAACGGUAACAGGCCGCAAGGUGCUGACGAGUGGCGAACGGGUGAGUAAUGCCUCGGAACGUGCCCAGGCGUGGGGGAUAACUAUCCGACAGGAUAGCUAAUACCGCAUACGAUCUGCGGAUGAAAGCGGGGACCUGCGGGCCCCGCGCGCUUGGAGCGGCCGAUGUCAGAUUAGGUAGUUGGUGGGGUAAAGGCUCACCAAGCCAACGAUCUGUAGCUGGUCUGAGAGAACGACCAGCCACACUGGGACUGAGACACGGCCCAGACUCCUACGGGAGGCAGCAGUGGGGAAUUUUGGACAAUGGGCGCAAGCCUGAUCCAGCAAUGCCGCGUGCAGGAAGAAGGCCUUCGGGUUGUAAACUGCUUUUGUACGGAACGAAACGGCUCCGGUUAAUACCUGGGGCUAAUGACGGUACCGUAAGAAUAAGCACCGGCUAACUACGUGCCAGCCGCCGCCGUAA